CAAUAGCGUAUAUUAAAGUUGUUGCAGUUAAAAGCUCGUAGUUGGAUUUGUGGCAGUCGCGUGCGGCCCGGCAUUCGUGCCGGUGCUUGCUAGCGUCGCCAUCCUUGGGUGGAACCUGUGUGGCAUUAGGUUGUCGUGCAGGGGAUGCCCAUCGUUUACUGUGAAAAAUCAGAGUGUUUCUAGCAGGCAGCUCGCUCUUGCAUAGGUUAGCAUGGGAUAAUUUAAUAGGACUCUGGUGCUAUUUUGUUGGUUUCGAACACCGGAGUAAUGAUUAAAAGGGGGCAGUCAGGGGCACUCGUAUUCCGUCGAGAGAGGUGAAAUUCUCAGACCAAUGGAAGACGAACCACUGCGAAAGCAUUUGCCAGGGAUGUUUUCACUGAUCAAGAACGAAAGUUAGGGGAUCGAAGACGAUCAGAUACCA
This 421-nucleotide ribosomal RNA is filed under the name uncultured eukaryote. Its description in RNAcentral is "bacterial SSU rRNA". It matches the Rfam family "Eukaryotic small subunit ribosomal RNA", at positions 592 to 1017 of the family's 1831-position model. The record is from RNAcentral.